RNAcentral lists this ribosomal RNA (468 nucleotides) under uncultured Ochrobactrum sp. Its description in RNAcentral is "bacterial SSU rRNA". It matches the Rfam family "Bacterial small subunit ribosomal RNA", at positions 8 to 524 of the family's 1533-position model. The record is from RNAcentral. Lineage: Bacteria; Pseudomonadati; Pseudomonadota; Alphaproteobacteria; Hyphomicrobiales; Brucellaceae.
AGAGUUUGAUCCUGGCUCAGAACGAACGCUGGCGGCAGGCUUAACACAUGCAAGUCGAGCGCCCCGCAAGGGGAGCGGCAGACGGGUGAGUAACGCGUGGGAAUCUACCUUUUGCUACGGAAUAACUCAGGGAAACUUGUGCUGAUACCGUAUGUGCCCUUCGGGGGAAAGAUUUAUCGGCAAAGGAUGAGCCCGCGUUGGAUUAGCUAGUUGGUGAGGUAAAGGCUCACCAAGGCGACGAUCCAUAGCUGGUCUGAGAGGAUGAUCAGCCACACUGGGACUGAGACACGGCCCAGACUCCUACGGGAGGCAGCAGUGGGGAAUAUUGGACAAUGGGCGCAAGCCUGAUCCAGCCAUGCCGCGUGAGUGAUGAAGGCCCUAGGGUUGUAAAGCUCUUUCACCGGUGAAGAUAAUGACGGUAACCGGAGAAGAAGCCCCGGCUAACUUCGUGCCAGCAGCCGCGGUAAA